RNAcentral lists this non-coding RNA (27 nucleotides) under Mus musculus (house mouse). The record is from RNAcentral. Lineage: Eukaryota; Metazoa; Chordata; Mammalia; Rodentia; Muridae.
AAUCCUGAUUGGCCUCCUUUCCAAAGA